CUGGCUCAGGAUGAACGCUGGCGGCGUGCCUAACACAUGCAAGUCGAGCGAGAAACCUCUUGAAGAUAUCGGUUGAUUCUGUGAGGCGGAAAGCGGCGGACGGGUGAGUAACGCGUAGGCAACCUGCCCCUUGCAGAGGGAUAGCCUCGGGAAACCGGGAUUAAAACCUCAUAACGCACAGAUAAGACAUCUUGACUGUGCCAAAGAUUUAUCGGCAAGGGAUGGGCCUGCGUCUGAUUAGUUAGUUGGUGAGGUAACGGCUCACCAAGGCGACGAUCAGUAGCCGACCUGAGAGGGUGAUCGGCCACAUUGGAACUGAGACACGGUCCAAACUCCUACGGGAGGCAGCAGUGGGGAAUAUUGCACAAUGGGGGAAACCCUGAUGCAGCAACGCCGCGUGAAGGAUGAAGGCCCUUGGGUCGUAAACUUCUGUUCUAAGGGAAGAUAGUGACGGUACCUUAGGAGCAAGUCCCGGCUAACUACGUGCCAGCCGCAGC
This 497-nucleotide ribosomal RNA is filed under the name uncultured bacterium. RNAcentral's name for it is "bacterial SSU rRNA". It matches the Rfam family "Bacterial small subunit ribosomal RNA", at positions 19 to 518 of the family's 1533-position model. The record is from RNAcentral.